RNAcentral lists this ribosomal RNA (274 nucleotides) under Rhipicephalus sp. Morphotype 2. RNAcentral's name for it is "partial 16S ribosomal RNA". Lineage: Eukaryota; Metazoa; Arthropoda; Arachnida; Ixodida; Ixodidae. The record is from RNAcentral.
AGUAUUUUGACUAUACAAAGGUAUUGAAAUAAGAUUUUAAUUGAAUGCUAAGAGAAUGGAAUUUCAGAAAAAAACUUUUUUCAAGUUAAAAAUUGAAAUUUUUUCAAUUUGUGCAGAAACAAUUAUUAAUAUUAAGGACAAGAAGACCCUAUGAAUUUAUAAAUUUUAUUUAAUAUGUAACUACUAUUGAAAAAAUUUUAGCUGGGGCGGCGGAAAAAUAUUUAAAACUUUUUUAAAAUAAAAUGACCCAUUAUUAAUGAUUAUAUGUUAAAUA